This is a small nuclear RNA of Echinops telfairi (small Madagascar hedgehog), 163 nucleotides long. Its record names the gene U1. It matches the Rfam family "U1 spliceosomal RNA". From Rfam's summary of the family: U1 is a small nuclear RNA (snRNA) component of the spliceosome (involved in pre-mRNA splicing). The record is from Ensembl. Lineage: Eukaryota; Metazoa; Chordata; Mammalia; Afrosoricida; Tenrecidae.
AUACUUCCCUGGCAGGGGAGAUACCGGGGCACGACGGUGGUUUUCCCAGGGCGCACCUUGUCUGUUGCCCUCCCCAUGUUCUGGUUGCCGUGACUUGCCCAAAGGUGGGAAACACGACUGUGUGAUUUGUGACAGUGGGGGUCUGCAUUCACACUCUUCCCAU